This 490-nucleotide ribosomal RNA is filed under the name Shigella flexneri. RNAcentral's name for it is "bacterial SSU rRNA". It matches the Rfam family "Bacterial small subunit ribosomal RNA", at positions 91 to 577 of the family's 1533-position model. Lineage: Bacteria; Pseudomonadati; Pseudomonadota; Gammaproteobacteria; Enterobacterales; Enterobacteriaceae. The record is from RNAcentral.
ACGAGUGGCGGACGGGUGAGUAAUGUCUGGGAAACUGCCUGAUGGAGGGGGAUAACUACUGGAAACGGUAGCUAAUACCGCAUAACGUCGCAAGACCAAAGAGGGGGACCUUCGGGCCUCUUGCCAUCGGAUGUGCCCAGAUGGGAUUAGCUUGUUGGUGGGGUAACGGCUCACCUAGGCGACGAUCCCUAGCUGGUCUGAGAGGAUGACCAGCCACACUGGAACUGAGACACGGUCCAGACUCCUACGGGAGGCAGCAGUGGGGAAUAUUGCACAAUGGGCGCAAGCCUGAUGCAGCCAUGCCGCGUGUAUGAAGAAGGCCUUCGGGUUGUAAAGUACUUUCAGCGGGGAGGAAGGGAGUAAAGUUAAUACCUUUGCUCAUUGACGUUACCCGCAGAAGAAGCACCGGCUAACUCCGUGCCAGCAGCCGCGGUAAUACGGAGGGUGCAAGCGUUAAUCGGAAUUACUGGGCGUAAAGCGCACGCAGGCG